UUAUGCAAAAAAAGAAUAGAACAAGAACGGAACAUGCUGCUUGCAUAUGAGAAAAAGGAAAUGUUGUUUACAUAAGUAAAUAUUUCAAUAAUACAAAUAAACUAUGAUAAAUCCUCUGGUUUAAGUUACCUGGUCAUACAGUUAUUGCUUCUAUGGGUAACUAAUAAGAUUUCAAAUUAAUUUCCAGGAAGCUCAAUCAAGGGUGUAACCUGAACUUAAAAGCAACUAAAUAAAAUAAAGACCCAACCAAA
This 251-nucleotide unclassified non-coding RNA is filed under the name Hevea brasiliensis (rubber tree). Lineage: Eukaryota; Viridiplantae; Streptophyta; Magnoliopsida; Malpighiales; Euphorbiaceae. The record is from RNAcentral.